AUUGAACGCUGGCGGCAUGCCUUACACAUGCAAGUCGAACGGUAACGCGGGGCAACCUGGCGACGAGUGGCGAACGGGUGAGUAAUGUAUCGGAACGUGCCCAGUUGUGGGGGAUAACUGCUCGAAAGAGCAGCUAAUACCGCAUACGACCUGAGGGUGAAAGCGGGGGAUCGCAAGACCUCGCGCAAUUGGAGCGGCCGAUAUCAGAUUAGGUAGUUGGUGGGGUAAAGGCUCACCAAGCCGACGAUCUGUAGCUGGUCUGAGAGGACGACCAGCCACACUGGGACUGAGACACGGCCCAGACUCCUACGGGAGGCAGCAGUGGGGAAUUUUGGACAAUGGACGCAAGUCUGAUCCAGCCAUGCCGCGUGCGGGAAGAAGGCCUUCGGGUUGUAAACCGCUUUUGUCAGGGAAGAAAAGGCUCCUUCUAAUAUAGGGGGCUCAUGACGGUACCUGAAGAAUAAGCACCGGCUAACUACGUGCCAGCCGCCGCCGUAA
RNAcentral lists this ribosomal RNA (498 nucleotides) under uncultured bacterium. Its description in RNAcentral is "partial 16S ribosomal RNA". It matches the Rfam family "Bacterial small subunit ribosomal RNA", at positions 30 to 523 of the family's 1533-position model. The record is from RNAcentral.